Molecule: ribosomal RNA, 253 nt
Filed under: uncultured bacterium
Lineage: Bacteria
Description: partial 16S ribosomal RNA
Rfam family: Bacterial small subunit ribosomal RNA
Source: RNAcentral
UACAGAGACCUCAAGCGUUAUCCGGAUUUAUUGGGCGUAAAGAGCAUUUAGGCGGACUUAUUAGUCAGAUGUCAAAUCCUCGAGCUUAACUCGAGAACUGCAUUUGAAACGGUAAGUCUAGAGACAGUGAGAAACCAGUAGAACAUAUGGUGUAGCAGUGAAAUGCGUUGAUAUCAUAUGGAAUACCAAAGGCGAAAGCAUCUGGUUAAUGCUGUUCUGACGCUGAGAUGCGAAAGCGUGGGUAGCGAAUGGG